Molecule: small nucleolar RNA, 103 nt
Filed under: Chinchilla lanigera (long-tailed chinchilla)
Lineage: Eukaryota; Metazoa; Chordata; Mammalia; Rodentia; Chinchillidae
Description: Small nucleolar RNA SNORA61 (ENSCLAG00000021524.1)
Source: RNAcentral
UAGCUCUUGGUCUUGGCAGUGGUAAAGGAGGGAAAGAAGUGCGAAAGCUGGCCUCAUAGCCUUUCAGUCUGGUAUACAGCAUGUGGGCUAGCUUCAAAUAUGG